AGACUUCGGUGGAUUUGAUCUAUUUCUAGUGGCGGACGGGUGAGUAACGCGUGGGUAACCUGCCUUAUACAGGGGGAUAACAGUCAGAAAUGGCUGCUAAUACCGCAUAAGCGCACAGAGCUGCAUGGCUCAGUGUGAAAAACUCCGGUGGUAUAAGAUGGACCCGCGUUGGAUUAGCUAGUUGGUGGGGUAACGGCCCACCAAGGCGACGAUCCAUAGCCGGCCUGAGAGGGUGAACGGCCACAUUGGGACUGAGACACGGCCCAGACUCC
Molecule: ribosomal RNA, 272 nt
Filed under: uncultured Blautia sp.
Lineage: Bacteria; Bacillati; Bacillota; Clostridia; Lachnospirales; Lachnospiraceae
Description: partial 16S ribosomal RNA
Rfam family: Bacterial small subunit ribosomal RNA
Source: RNAcentral